GACGUAGGGCGCGAGCGUUGUCCGGAUUUAUUGGGCGUAAAGAGCUCGUAGGCGGCUUGUCGCGUCGGCCGUGAAAACCUGCAGCUUAACUGUGGGCUUGCGGUCGAUACGGGCAUCACUGGAGUUCGGCAGGGGAGACUGGAAUUCCUGGUGUAGCGGUGAAAUGCGCAGAUAUCAGGAGGAACACCGGUGGCGAAGGCGGGUCUCUGGGCCGAUACUGACGCUGAGGAGCGAAAGCGUGGGGAGCGAACAGG
RNAcentral lists this ribosomal RNA (254 nucleotides) under uncultured bacterium. Its description in RNAcentral is "partial 16S ribosomal RNA". It matches the Rfam family "Bacterial small subunit ribosomal RNA", at positions 524 to 776 of the family's 1533-position model. The record is from RNAcentral.